Molecule: non-coding RNA, 5610 nt
Organism: Myodes glareolus (Bank vole)
Lineage: Eukaryota; Metazoa; Chordata; Mammalia; Rodentia; Cricetidae
Source: RefSeq, a predicted model, not a curated record
GUAGCCAUUUUAGGAGGAAACCCGGGUCGCCGGCUUGGGGCGCGGCUUCAAUUUCAACAACUUUAUUGGUCUCUCUGUACGCCGAACAGCCGGCGUGCGUGUGGCCCCGGGAUCCCGGAGCGCAUCGCUAGAGCGCGGCAGGUUGCCCCCGACUCGAACCGCAGCCAUGGGAAACACCACCAGCGAGAGGGUGUCCGGGGAGCGCCACGGUGCCAAGGCUGCGCGAGCCGAGGGCGGCGGCCAUGGCCCGGGCAAGGAGCACAAGAUCAUGGUGGGGAGCACCGACGACCCCAGCGUCUUCAGCCUGCCCGACUCCAAGCUCCCUGGGGACAAAGAGUUUGUACCCUGGCAGCAGGACUUGGAUGAUUCUGUGAAGCCCACCCAGCAGGCCCGGCCCACCGUUAUCCGCUGGUCUGAAGGAGGCAAGGAGGUCUUCAUCUCUGGGUCUUUCAACAACUGGAGCACUAAGAUUCCACUGAUUAAGAGUCAUAAUGACUUUGUUGCCAUCCUGGAUCUUCCAGAGGGAGAACACCAGUACAAAUUCUUUGUGGAUGGACAGUGGGUUCAUGAUCCAUCAGAGCCUGUGGUUACCAGUCAGCUUGGCACAAUUAAUAAUUUGAUCCAUGUCAAGAAAUCUGAUUUUGAAGUAUUCGAUGCUUUGAAGUUGGACUCCAUGGAGAGCUCUGAGACGUCCUGCCGAGACCUGUCCAGCUCACCCCCAGGACCUUAUGGUCAAGAAAUGUAUGUGUUCCGAUCUGAAGAGAGAUUCAAGUCCCCACCCAUCCUGCCCCCUCACCUACUCCAAGUUAUUCUUAACAAGGACACUAAUAUUUCAUGUGACCCGGCCUUACUUCCUGAGCCCAACCAUGUUAUGCUAAACCAUCUCUAUGCGCUGUCCAUUAAGGCUAUUGGAUUUUAAACCCCAGUCUCUGCCUGUGUUUAGGCUAACUGAACUGUCAGUGAUGGGGACCUUCUGCUUCCCAGUGUCUGUGAGUGGCUGGACCCUUAGUACCAUCCAUUUACUUAAGCUUGAGUUCAUACUAGUUGGAUUCUACGUGCUGAAAAUCAGGUUUAACUUCCUUCAAAAAAUGCCUGAACAAGACAGUAAAACUUGUUAAAAUGUGGACUCGAGCUGCGUUGAGAUGUCCUACUUGUGUGUCCCCAGGCAUUUCCAUCCCUUUACAGUAGGUAGGCAGGCAGUGUGACCAGAUGUGCUGUGUCCUUCUCACCCCUGCCCUAGAGUUCUUAGUUUCUCUGUUGUCUUAAUGUCUUUGUGGCUUGACCAUUAGCAUAAAGUAUGUAGUUGUGUGGCUGGCUAAGCUGACCUCGUGGGAACUGCUUGGAGAAGUUGGUGAACGUCAGAUUGAGAAGUCUCCUCCCAGAUAUUCUAAGUAAGUGUACCUAGGGUGACUCCCAGCAGUUUCUCUGGAAGCUGCUUAGAUUUCUUAGAUGUGCAGUGAGAACAGGGAGGUCACUGAUAGAGCUGACUUUAAUAGAUUAUGUAGGUGUAUAUAAAAUUUUAAUAUACUGGAUUGCAUUUUCCUAGUAACCUGGAGAGGUAAGUAUUAUUUUUAACCCCUGUUUUAUAGAUAAAGAAACUAAGGCUCAGAGAAGGUCAGAUUGCCAGACAGCGUGAUGGUCCUUAGUGCAACCCAUCGCUACAAGAAGAAGUAUGUCACCACCUUGCUGUAUAAGCCCAUUUGAAGAGGACAUCUCUCCUUGCCUCCAAGGAUUCUGGAGUAACAUCUCCCUUGCCUUUGAACUGACCCGGUCUCCUCUGAAACUGGAAGGCUGAUUUGUGUUGAGGCUGAUACGUGUGUUUCAGAGCCUCUAAGUAGAGGGCUCUGCUUUUGCAUUUGAUUGCAGAUGAGAGCUUUAUGAGUUCAUGGAGUUUAUUUUAAGAAAAACAAAACCACAUAUAUGCAUAUGAGAAGAAGGUUACUGGGAGCCUCCUAGCCCAGCUGUUUAGGUUCUCUCUGCCUGUGGGUAGUUGCCAGGGCCUGAGGGGGAAGCUGCGGCCGCAGGAAUGAGUGUACCGGAAGCUUCUUUUCCUAAAGUGAAAGAAUAGCAAACUCUUAGGAUCCUUGUCAGGCAGAGGUUCUGCCGCUGUACCCUGGUGUCAAAGGGUCAGCUGUGUGCCAGGCUGCAGCCCUUCCUUACAGCUGCCUCAUCGCAGGGUGGCUUUCCUUGCAUGGAUUGAUUCUGUAUUCCCACAGUAUGUGACACAGUCUACUGUGUUUUUAUAUGACACUAGAUGCCCCACAAGAACGCUCCACAUUUUAUGUUCUCUGUGAAGUAGUUUCCCUCAGAUCUCAUAUAUGACCCUCUGGAAAGUUGUAUGGGAUUAGACUCACCUCAGAGACUGGAGGUGCCAGGGCCUCCUUUUUAGCCCAGCGCGGGCCCAACCUGGUUUGUUACAGCUCACCUUAACGUGUAAAGAAAAGCCGUGGUUCAGUAUCAAGAGAGAUGCAGAUCUUCUGUGUGGUCCUAUGUACUGGGUGCAUGGCACGUGCUCACAGGGCUUCUCCUGGGCCUGGCCCUGUUUCCUGCUGCUUUUUAUCACAGCAGAUGGUUUGUGAUAUAGAAUUAGGGAACCUUCCAUAUCUUUUAUCCCUGAAAGAGUUUUAUGUGCCUAUGUUUUUCUUUAAUAAUAUAAAGAAGCAUAUCCAUCAGUGUUAAUGUCUAUUAAAGAAGCUCAGGCUUUUGACAAAUGGUUCUUAAUAUUUUCUUCUCCAGUCUAGGGAAUUCUACAGUCCUGGGUCAAUAUGAUCAGCCAUGUGUACCUCAUUACCCAAGCACUACUUUUGACAUGAGUUCCUGCAGGCUCAUUAGACGCACAUACUAGCUGUCCCUACCUUUAAAGAUGUGUGAGGUGAGGAACUAUCCCUGGUAUUUAUAACCAUGCACAGUGUUGUUCUUUGCACCAAGUUUUAACGGGAUGUUUUAUUCUUUUGCCUCUUUCAAAUGUGUUCGACAAUGGAGUGGGUCAUUGAUUAUCAUGGACUGAAAAGUACUUGGCCCACUCAGGUUUCAGAGAAAAUAUUUUCUCCAAGUAUCUGGACACUUCCGUUUUGCAGAUAAAUGCAAGUCAAGCAUUAGUUGUUUAUGGCUGAGAGACUUCGUGUUUGCUAAGAUGAGCCAGCCACUCUGAGGGACCUGCAGGUUAGUUUAGCUACCUCCUGACUUUCCCACCCAUUGGCACAGAUGUCCUCUUUGGAUUCUGAGACCCCUUUGAUCACAAGUGUGAAGCCAUAAGAUGGGAUGUUUCACAGUGGAUACAGAUUGCUAAAUGUCUUGGUAGGUAAUUGGUGGGGUAAGUACGACUUCCUCCAUCCUGAGCCACUUCUCCCUCCUCUCUUGUGGAGAACUUGUACUGUCCAGCCAACUUUCUGGAGAGUGUGCUCCUUUGGAAACUAAGGUCUAAUCCUGUCGUAACCAACUCGGAGGCCUUGGGCUCUACUGGAAAGCUUUUUGUUUUGUUUCCCAGUGCCCAUCUAGAAGUGGGCCACGGAGGAGGAGCGGUCUUGGUUUUUACACAGUGGCUUCUCUUAUAUCUGUCCUUGUUAACAUACGAGCUGGAAUCCUCUGUGUGUUCGUGGAUUAAAUUUUACUCCACACGGGUGUAGCAGUAGAAGGGUUGGGAAACAGUCUCCAGUUGCGGGCUGAGGCUGUCUUAUCAGGUGUGGCGGUGAUGACAGGGUUUUGGUGCUGGUGACCUUCACAUCCUUCUCAUCUGGAAACGAUUGCCCCUGCUUCUCAAGUCUGCUGGUCCCCUCCCUGGGGAGCUCUGUCAUUGUCACCAGGACACAGUUGUAAAGGGGACAGAGGAGGUCACUGCUUUUCUAUUAGUUACCUUAAGGGACAGUUUUCUACAGUCAAAAGGUUAGUAGAAUUUGGAAAUAAGGCAAAAACAUUUUAGUCUUCUUAAAUUUCCUUUUUCUCUUCACCUAUGGGAAUUGUGCAGUCAGGGUUGGUAGAGUAAAGCAGCCCCGAAGAAGGGCCACCUACCUCCUAGCCAGCUGUGAUGCCCGUUGGGGGUUGUGAGGAAAUGAAAGUAAUGAAUGAGCUGAGGAGUGGUACCAGGAAGCUGAAGGAUCAAGUAACUGGGAAGUGAAAAUAUCCUCUUUAAAAGAAAAAAAAAUUAAAGCUGGGCACAGCCUGGAUCCUUGGAUUUCAUUGUACAGAAACCUUAGCAGCCUGUAAAAUGUCUUCUCUCAGCCUCUUGCUGCACCUGUCCUCUGCCUUUCCUCUGCAUUCUAUUUGAUGUCGUUGGUCAGUAAGACAAGUUCACCAGGGUCUCAAAUCAAAUGCUACCCAAAACACAGGUUUGUGGCUUCACCUGGGUGAAAAACUUUCAUACAAUAGCUGUAAAUCCGCUUCCUGUCAACCUAGACUUGAGUAGGGUUUAGUAGGUAACACUCCCGCAGGGCACAUCUAGCUUCAAGAGCACUGGCCUCUCAAGUGUGAAGUACAAAGGAGAAGCCAGGUCCCUGAGAGGAACCCUGACCCACUCCUAUUGGCUUUGGUUUCUUGUCGACCUAAUGGAUCUUCCAUAAAUUUUUUGAAAGGUGUCAGUAUUCCAUGCAUGCUGCUGAAGGGAAGGGAAGGGAAAGUGGGGAAACGGGGCUUUAAAUGUUUGACCUCAAAACAAUAUGGUGUGUGUGGUAGCCGCUCUUCUCAGAGAUACUUUUGUCCCCGCGUUCUUGUGAUUUGGGGCUUAAGAAAGCAGAUAACUAUUUUGUUCCUGUAUUACAACUCAUGCUCAAAGCCGAGCCCUUGCCAUCUUCUGUCGGACUGCAGACUCCAGUUACUCUGAAGAGGAGACCUGGCAGGAGUGAGGGUCUUCCAGAACUCUCUGGUCUAGGCAUUUGUCUGUCAUUUAGUGACCGUCACAGCUGGAGACUGAAGGACUGAUUUCUGCAGUGAACUUAGGAAGUGUUUGGGAUAAAAAGCCCAAUCUUUUUAUUUUUUUUUUUCAAUUAUGGGGAAGAAGAAAAAGUCUCAAGUCAGCUACUUGUAGGAUGUGCUCCCUCUUGGAGUCUAAGCUGGACUUCAUCUCCACGUGUGUUUCUCACUAGUGUUUUGAAGUAAACAAGCUUCAUUAAAAGUAAAACACUGAGUAGUUCCAACAGAAUUGUGUGUGGCACAGUACUUUUUCAUUAAGAUUGGUGUGAAAACUAAAUAUUAGGUACUUGUGGGUGUCAGAUUAUACAGUUGGGGACACAUACAGGAAGAGUUGUAUCAGGUGUUGGCCAUAUUUUGUUCCCCUCGGUAGAGCGCCUUUGGCAGCUUAUCAUUCUAGGCCAGCCCGAUACCAGUGUUAAUUCGUCCUAAGUUCUGUACUGGGUGGCCCGUCUGAGACUGAAUUCGGCGGGUGUUGGUGGUUUCCCCUCUCGCACUUUGUUGUGCAGCGGGAGUGAUGGAUGCAGAGACGGUUCCAUGCGCAUGGGUCUCUUCACCGGUGCUGUGUGUGGCCUUUGAUGCUGACAUGCAAAGCUGCUUCAGUUCUCAACUCGGCAGUGACCUGCCUGAAAACUGUAUAAUGGGACAUAAAAAUGUGGGUUUGUUUUGUCCAUAAAACUGUCUAAUAAAAGCAUUAUACAGCGAUUA